UACGGGGGGGGCAAGCGUUGUUCGGAAUUACUGGGCGUAAAGGGCUCGUAGGCGGCCAACUAAGUCAGACGUGAAAGCCCCCGGCUCAACCGGGGAGGGUGGUGCCGAACUGGACUUCUUGAGGGCGAUAGAGGAGAGUGGAAUUCCGGGUGUAGCGGUGAAAUGCGUAGAGAUCCGGAGGAACACCAGUGGCGCAGGCGGCUCUCUGGGUCGGCCCUGACGCUGAGGCGCGAAAGCGUGGGGAGCGAACGGG
This 253-nucleotide ribosomal RNA is filed under the name uncultured bacterium. RNAcentral's name for it is "partial 16S ribosomal RNA". It matches the Rfam family "Bacterial small subunit ribosomal RNA", at positions 524 to 776 of the family's 1533-position model. The record is from RNAcentral.